This is a long non-coding RNA of Ostrea edulis (European flat oyster), 628 nucleotides long. RefSeq lists it as uncharacterized. Lineage: Eukaryota; Metazoa; Mollusca; Bivalvia; Ostreida; Ostreidae. The record is from RefSeq and is a predicted model, not a curated record. The transcript has 3 exons.
UGAGUCAUAAAAAUAAUGAGGGGAAAGGGAUGGAUUACAUCACGGACACCUGAUGUUUCGUUAUUAGAUACCAUUGUUUAUGUUGAAUGUUAACAAAUCAGAUUUAACGCGAAUAUUAUGGAGAACCUUAAGAAGAUAGACAGUUUACAUCGUCAAUGUAUUGAUAUAUGUAUACACCCCUACUAACGUGUUCGGAACAUAUUCUUUAUCGGUGUUAAGUAAAGCGUAAAAUCAAAGACUAUCGAAUGAAAUAUAAUCUCGCUGCUUCGAGACUCCAACGCGAGCUACCUGAGACCCGGUGAAUUUUCUACCGGAUAUGGAUGUGCUUUAAGGAAUUUCAGUGUUAAUAAGCCAUAUGUUUUAAUUGCUGUCCAUCAAAUAGUAUGUACAGUAUCUUUGUGUAAUUAAAUUCAUUUUGAGGAAAUAGCAUGCGUCCAGUGCACAUUCCUUAAUGAAUUCAUCAGUUUACAUUAAGGAUCUACCUUCAAAUCCUGUAAUCUGGGAUGCUCUAAAGUGCAUGUCGCAGACUAAAGUUAUAAAAAUAACUUCCAAGAAUUUUUAAGAAAUUGUUUUAACUUUAAAAUGUAUGUAUAUAUACUGAUAUUGAAUUAAAUUUUAUAAAAUUUCA